Molecule: long non-coding RNA, 1268 nt
Filed under: Callithrix jacchus (white-tufted-ear marmoset)
Lineage: Eukaryota; Metazoa; Chordata; Mammalia; Primates; Cebidae
Description: lncRNA (ENSCJAG00000079477.1)
Source: RNAcentral
AAACCAAGCAAGAUUUUGCAAACUCAAUUUUGAUUAGUAAAGUAACCCUAUCUCUUUUCCUCCUCCCCUCCUUCCCCGCCUCUCUCUCAGGAACCCAGGGGCAAAUGCUAGACCUUUUCAGAGCUGGAUCAUUAUGAAAAUCAUCUUCAUGGAAUGUUCCAGAGCCAUGCCUCUGACUCUCAAGACAAUAUCUGCAAAGACUCAAAAGGUUGCUCUAGUUAAUAAAAAUAAUUUUUACUUUACUAAUCAAAAUCAAGUUUACAAAAUCCUGGUUCAUUUAAGAUUUGAAAUCUUCAUCUUAAGUUUGAUUUGCUUAAAUGUUAAUUUAGAUUUGUUUAAAUGUCUGCUAAACGGUUAAAUUUUGAGGUGAGAUUAGCAAAUGAGUAAUUAGAAACAGAGACAUUGCCACAUUCUGUUACUAAAUGUUUAACCCACACAGAAUCUUUAAUCUUCCAGAUCCAGCGCCAGGAAGAAAUGGUGCAAACACUGGUACAUCUUACCUGGGAACAGAAAUGCAUGGCUGGAUAUUCUCCAGAUGGUCGAAGCCUCUGUCAGGAAGGGAACUGGUCUAUGCUGACGACAUUUGGGACAAGCUGCAGGUGCAUAAUAUGAAUAUAAGCAGGUGGAUAUCACAGGAAACUCCACAUCCCGACUGUGUCCGCCCGACCCAACAUGGGGCAGAGAGCUCUCGCAAACCCCUCCCAGCUUCCACAUUUAUUUUUAAGGAAGGUCAGCAUGAAAUAUUCUCGGAGAUUUUUAUUAGGCAAAUAAUCGGAUUUUGUCAUACGGAAGGCUUAUUGCGUCGGGGUGAGAAGAUGCCUGACUUACAAGAAUUCAGAACUGAUGCUCACCAGGUGGCGUCACGCUACGUGCCCAUCACCCGGCCAAAACAUCCUGCAACUGAAAAGGAAGAAAACUUGUUACCAGAGGAAUGGCACAGAAAUCACGAUUCUGACCUUUGCGAAUUGUUGAGAGAUCAGCCCUGGCUAAGGAAUGGCAGCCUCUGUGGGUGGCUGUCCACACCUCCUUCCACCCUCUGCCUGGCUGGAACCUGCCCACGGCCCAGGGGCAACCAUGAGGGUCUGGCUCUUGAGGAGAGCGAAGAUCAUCUGGUGACAGCACUCCCUACCCGAGAAAUCCAGAAGCCAUUAGGGAUAUUAUCUAAAGCCGGCGUCUGGUUCCAGGCCUCUUUCCAAAAAUUCAUAAGUAGGAUUUCUCUACGUCUCUGGAAGUCAUGCAUGUGGAAACUCACUUGCAACCCUUGCUGA